AUCGCUUCUCGGCCUUUUGGCUAAGAUCAAGUGUGGAAUACAGAACAAAGUUUCCUCAAAAAAUUAAAAAUAGAACUACCAUUUGAUCAAGAAAUCCUACUUCUGGGUAUAUAUCAUCCAAAAGAAAUGAGACAGGAUGUCAAAGAAUAUAUCUGUAUUCCCAUAUUCACUGCAUAUUCAAGGUAAC
Small nuclear RNA from Leopardus geoffroyi (Geoffroy's cat), 187 nucleotides. RefSeq annotates it as U2 spliceosomal RNA. The transcript has a single exon. The record is from RefSeq and is a predicted model, not a curated record. NCBI's taxonomy places the organism in Eukaryota, Metazoa, Chordata, Mammalia, Carnivora, Felidae.